This 165-nucleotide ribosomal RNA is filed under the name uncultured bacterium. RNAcentral's name for it is "partial 16S ribosomal RNA". It matches the Rfam family "Bacterial small subunit ribosomal RNA", at positions 334 to 493 of the family's 1533-position model. The record is from RNAcentral.
UACUCCUACGGGAGGCAGCAGUGGGGAAUAUUGCACAAUGGGGGAAACCCUGAUGCAGCCAUGCCGCGUGUGUGAAGAAGGCCUUCGGGUUGUAAAGCACUUUCAGUAGGGAGGAAGGUGUUGUCGUUAAUAGCGGCAGCAUUGACGUACAUCAGAGAGCAGCCC